GGUUCUAUGGUGUUAUGGUUAGCACACUGGACUCUGAAUCCAGUGAUCCGAGUUCAAGUCUCGGUAGAACCU
Molecule: non-coding RNA, 72 nt
Organism: Octopus bimaculoides (California two-spot octopus)
Lineage: Eukaryota; Metazoa; Mollusca; Cephalopoda; Octopoda; Octopodidae
Source: Rfam